RNAcentral lists this ribosomal RNA (198 nucleotides) under uncultured bacterium. RNAcentral describes it as "partial 16S ribosomal RNA". It matches the Rfam family "Bacterial small subunit ribosomal RNA", at positions 328 to 539 of the family's 1533-position model. The record is from RNAcentral.
ACGCUCGACACCUACGGGAGGGAGCAGUGGGGAAUAUUGCACAAUGGGGGAAACCCUGAUGCAGCGACGCCGCGUGAAGGAUGAAGUAUUUCGGUAUGUAAACUUCUAUCAGCAGGGAAGAAAAUGACGGUACCUGACUAAGAAGCCCCGGCUAACUACGUGCCAGCAGCCGCGGUAAUCUGAGCGGGCUGGCAAGGC